Molecule: long non-coding RNA, 1655 nt
Filed under: Homo sapiens (human)
Lineage: Eukaryota; Metazoa; Chordata; Mammalia; Primates; Hominidae
Description: HSALNT0040615
Source: RNAcentral
CAAUUAGUUUUUUAAAAAACACUAAAUAGUCUCAAAAUGAGUAUAAAUUAUUUGUAAUUUCCUGUCAUCAGCUAUUCUAAUAAAAACUGAAUAUAACUUAGGAUUCUGUAGAAAACACUGAUGUCACUCAACUGUUAAACAACAUUUGGCCCUCUGUAGUGUUUCCGAGUUCCUCAGCGGAAAAAAAAUACACAAACGGCAGCAUAAAUCACCUUUGCGCCUUCUUUCAAAUUCCCCUGACUCUACAUGUAUAUUCCUUGACAGGAUUCUGCCUAUUCUACCAUCUGCAAACUUGAAUUUGAUGGAAAAAAAAAAAAGGGAAAAGUCUAUAUAUACUCUAGUGAGACAUAUGUAGGUUGCACCCCCAGCCUCCAUUUCUGCUUCCCUCUUAGUAAGGGCCACCCACAUUUCCAACUCUACAGAUCACCAAUCAGAGAUGUAAAUGUUAGGAAUCUUUCAAGGCCUGGGUUGAGGAUCUCUUCAGAGAGGUCUAGCUAUUGAUCCCAGGGUGCUAUCAGCCUGUGAUCAUUUGUUAUGUUCAUUUCCUAGUUUGCUGGGACACUAGUGGAAUUUUAAUUACACACCCAGACCAUGGGAAGUUCUACGUCUAUGCUUUGAAAGCCACAGAUAAGCAUAUAAUGUUUCAAUGUGGAGAAGUGAGCAUUGGAUUGAAAUCGGAAUACCUGAGUUAUAUUUUUCACUUUCUCCCUAACACAACUGAACAUUGGACAAGACGCUAAAUUCCUCUGGAUCUCUGUUCUUUCAUCUGAAAAAAGAAUUCUCCAUUUGUAGACUAUGGUCCAUUCCAUCUCCAACAUUUUAUGAAUCCUGUGAGUCCACCUAAUUCAUUUUUCUGAUUUAACAGAUGAAAAAACUAAAACAUAGAGAGAUGAAAUGAUUUGCUUAGGGUCAUAUAAUUAGCCAAUGUCCAAACUGAAAAUAAGAGCAGGUUUCUUAUUCCUAGUCCAGCCUACUGUUCUACUACAGCUGAUAGUUGUCAGAGGAGUUUGUGGACGGUGGUAAUCCUUGCAAGAAUAAUUUUCAACUAUUGACAAAGAAAAAAAAAUUCUAGUGAUUUGGGGGAAAAAUGUAAUUUUCUUAUUUGAAUGUGUCACCAUUUUAAAGAGUAUAUUUCUACAGAGAGUUAAGUCAAAGAACUAAUUAUGCAUUGUCUCACAUUAUGUAAGAGCAUUAUACAACUCAAUUAGAACUGACAAUAAAACAACUUCCAGGCAAGAUCUUCUGAAUUGCCCUUAUUUCUCUUUUAAAAUCACUGAAGCAAAAUCACGUUCCAAUUCAAAUAUUCUGAAAGUCUAUCCAGCCUAUACACAUUCCCCUGCAGCAUUUUUACUCUCUUCCUAGGUUUUAGCAAAGAAACAUUUCUGUUUACUUCUGUAACUCCUGUGAGGGCAUGGAAAUUCUAAGUGCCAUUAUUUUCUGGGUAAGAGAAUAAGAAAAUGCAUUUCAAUUUUUUUAAAACCCAGAACCAGGCUUCAAUUUUUAAUUAGAAAGUCAUAACUUAUUUUAAAAGAAUGAACGAAAGUAUUUUUGUUUAUAAAAAUAUUCUAUUCCAAACAAAAAAUACAAGAAAAGAACUUAGCCCUGAACCCCAUCUCAUGUAUUUCAGUAAUCAUUUAAAUAAAGGUUUCCACCAG